UAGGCCACGCGGCUCGGGGGUCUGCGCACAGCCGGCGUUCGGGAGCGGUGGGGGCCGCUCUUCCCCUGGGCGUGGGCCCACACGGUACUCGGAAAGCUUCGCCUGGUGGCCCCACCCUCUGCCCUCAUGCCUCCCCUGGCUCUUCCAGACAUGCUACCUUGGGUAUUCACCUGGGGGAAGUUGACCAUCUUGAUCGGGAUCAUGGACUCCAGGAGCCUGGGAGAGGAGAGGAGAGAUGAGAGCCAAGGCGGCACUAGGCUAUGAGGUUCUGGAGGGCCUGAAUCCUAUUCAUCUCUAACUCCAGAGAACAUGCUGGAUGGUAAAGGGAGAAGAGGGGGGUAAAGACAGACAAGGAAUGAGGAGAUCACUUCCCUGUCCCUAGAAAUGCUUCCAGGAAGGACGACCUUCUGAUACCGUGCUGACACGCACGGAGAACUCAGAAAGCCUGCCUGGAGCCUUGGGAGAGCACUUGACGAUUUACCUAUUUGACCUGCUCCCCUUUAAAAGACAGGCCAACCUCAGCAGAGAAUGCCCAGAAUUCAGGGCUGUGAUGGUGAAGCCCUGGGAAAGGUCUUACUUGAGGGAACCAGUGUGUCUCCUGUCUCUUCCUGCUUACCACUCCUCAGAGCACCGCUGACCGUUUUCUUGAAAAACAGCCUUGAAGUGGUAUAAAAAUUCCACACAGAAAGAAUAAAAGUACAAGUCACUUUCCCCCACUCUCUUCUUAAGUAGCCAGCUCCUAAUAAUAUACCUUGGAUUUUGGCUAGAUCUUACCUCCUCUGGGAAAUCUGCCCUGUCCCACCCUCUAGUCUACUCUGGGUCAGGUGUCCUUCCUGUGGAUCCCAUCAGAGCAAAUGAGUGCUGAACUGUAAUGGCACGGGAGGGCAAGGCUCCCAUCUACCUUCACUCUCUGUCUUCCAUGAGACAGAACCAUUACGGUGCCCAGCACAGAACAAAUGGUCAAUAAAUAGCUGCUAAGUGGUA
Non-coding RNA from Leptonychotes weddellii (Weddell seal), 984 nucleotides. Lineage: Eukaryota; Metazoa; Chordata; Mammalia; Carnivora; Phocidae. The record is from RefSeq and is a predicted model, not a curated record.